This 492-nucleotide ribosomal RNA is filed under the name uncultured bacterium. RNAcentral's name for it is "partial 16S ribosomal RNA". It matches the Rfam family "Bacterial small subunit ribosomal RNA", at positions 29 to 507 of the family's 1533-position model. The record is from RNAcentral.
AGUGAACGCUGGCGGUAGGCCUAACACAUGCAAGUCGAACGGCAGCACAGUAAGAGCUUGCUCUUACGGGUGGCGAGUGGCGGACGGGUGAGGAAUACAUCGGAAUCUACUUUUUCGUGGGGGAUAACGUAGGGAAACUUACGCUAAUACCGCAUACGACCUACGGGUGAAAGCAGGGGAUCUUCGGACCUUGCGCGAUUGAAUGAGCCGAUGUCGGAUUAGCUAGUUGGCGGGGUAAAGGCCCACCAAGGCGACGAUCCGUAGCUGGUCUGAGAGGAUGAUCAGACACCUUGGCAGUGAGGCUCAGUCGAGACUCUUACAGUGGGACACAGCGGAGAAUCUUGGGCGAGGGGCGAAUGCCUGAUCCUGGAAUACCGCGUGAGUGCAGAAGGCGCUCGGGUUGUAGAGCCCUUUUGUUGGGAAAGAAAAACAGCAGGUUAAUACCCCACUGUUAUGACGGUACCCAAAGAAUAAGCCCCGGCUAACUUCGUG